AUCUGUUUUCAGCAUAAAGGGAUGUUGGAAGAUAGAUGUUUAAUUAUGUAGAGCUCUAUUUGAGCAUUUCUCUACACAAAUUAAAUAUUUUAUAUGAUUUUAUUUUAUUUAGAAUUAAUUUAAGCUUUAAUUUAGACCCUAGUUUUAUUUCUGUGAGCUGAAUGAUCACAUUAAUCUCUUAAAACGUUUAAAAUUAAAUAUAUUAACUGCAAAUAUAUUAAUAAAAUGUAGUUUAUAUCUGUUAUUUAUUACAUAUAUAAUGUAUUCGUAAUAUUAAUCCUCAUUGCUGCUUUAAUAAAUGACUUUAGGCUGCAGUUUAUUGUAUUAAAGUAGAAUCUGUGUCAUCCUGUAGUUCCAACGUUUGUCCACAGGAGUGCAGUGUCAGACCAUAAACCGAGCCUCCAUCACCCUUAUUCAGGAGGGAGAACCAGGGGAGAACUGAACCAGUCAGCCUCAAGAGUUCAUCACUUAUUCACUCUUAACCUAUUUUAUACAGUCUAUGGUCUUAACUUGCAUAUCAUUUGACAGGAAAUUGUGUGGUUUUUAUUUUAAAUUAUAUUUUGUAAAUUGCAUGAACUAUUUGGGGGAUACAACGUGAUGUAAUCAUCUUUAAUAUCUGUUUUAAUCAUCAAGGUGACUUGGAAGAUACAUGUUUAAUUAUGUAGAAAUGUAUUUCAGCAUUUAUCUACUCAAAUUAAAUGUUUUAUAGUAUUUUAUUUUAUUUAGCUUUAAUGUAAGCUCAUAUUUAGACCGUAGUUUUAUUUCUGUGAGCUGAACGAGCACAUUAAUCUCAUUAAAACGUUUAAAAUUCAAUAUAUUAACUACAAAUAUAUCAAGAAUAUAUAGUGUAUAGCUGUCUUAUUUUAAUAUAUAAUGUAUUCUUAAUAUUUUUGCUCUAUUGCUGCUUUAAUUAUUGAGUUUAGACUGCUGUAUAUCAGAAUCUGUGUCAUCCUGUAGAUCCAGCGUUUGUCCACAGGAGGGCAGUGUCAGACCAUAAACCGAGCCUCCAUCACCCUUAUUCAGGAGGGAGAACUGAAACAGUCAGCCUCAAGAGUUCAUCACUUAUCCACUUUUAACUCACAUGAAUUCAUAGGACGUAUGAGCUCAUGCUGCUGGCCGGCUGCCUGGAGGAGGAGGAGGAGGAGGAGGAGGAGGAAGAAGAAGAAGAGGGGGAGUAAGCAUUCAUCAGGUGCAUUACGUCACCACGGGCCAAUCCUCUGCUCUCUGACACGCUGAGCGCUCGCAGCAGCGUCUGUUUCACGUGGGGGGAGUUUGGCUCAGAGAGACACGAGCUGAGUUUCACCUCGAGGACGGGGUCACCAGGUCGAUUCAGGUUCAGUUCAAACCUGCAAGCGCCCCGCUGUGAUGCGUGUAACACAAAACAAGGCCUAACAUGACCUGCAGGAUUCAAAUGUAUUAAAAUGACCUGAGGAGAUGAAACUGAGACAGAAAUCCAACAACCUGAGUCCAAAAAGAGGAGAUGAAUGACUUCCUACUGUACUCUAAAUAUUAACAUCAGCCUUAUUUGACAUAUGCACCUUUAAGAACAACUAAAGACCUCUCUGCAUGGUGGUUAAUUGUAGAAAACACAUUUUGCAUGCAUGUAAGAUAAACAUCUAUGUAUCUUGGUGCAUUUGCAGCUAUUUCACCUCAUAACAAGCUCUAUCAUAUCAUGAAAUAAGAUGCUUUAUAUGAACACGUCUGCUGAAUGUGACCUGUGUGAAGCAUAAUGAGAUAUUUGAGUUGAAGUUAGACAAAAACACUUCCUAAGAUGUGAUUGUUUUGCAGAGAAGGAGUGCAGAUUUCAUCCCUCUGAGUUCUGAUGGGCUUCAGGUGCUUUACUCUCAAACCUGGUGGCCAUAGCUCCUCCUCUUUUUCUCCACAAACACCUGCAAGAAAGAAAUCACAACAAGGUGGGCUGGUGGCCUAGCGGUCUAAGCACCACACGGAUAGAGGUUGUAGUCUUCGUCACAAAGGUUGCAGGUUCGAUUCCCCACCCUUCCUCUGCUCUGUCCUGUCUCUCUUCAGCUCUCCGGUCAAUAAAGGUGAGAAAUCACAACCAGAGGUCUAUAACAUUUUAAAAUCACAAAGCUGCUCUGAUAUCUACAUCCUGUCCUCCUCUCACAGCUCUGAUGCUCAGAUUUGUUUUACUUUCUGGUCAAAAGUUCACUGAAAGAUUGCAAAAUUCACAAAAACAAACAUGAUGCAAUAACUGGGAGGCUUUCUAUUUGCAGAUAACGUGAUUAACUUUGCUUAUAUAAGUCUGCUUUUGUUCUGGACUGAGCCAAACAGGCCAAAGAUAAAAGAGGCAGAAGUUAGAAGAAGGAGAAGAAGCCAGACUUUUGAGAGAACAGGUCUGUUGUUUUAAGGAAGCAAAAAGCUUCCAAGGUCACAAGAGCUGCAGAGUUUACAGGAUUUACAGAAACCUGGGGGCUUCAGAUCUUACUCUGGAGGAAAAGCCAAUAAAUGAAUGAACUUUCUGCUGCCUUAAUUAGACAAAUCAAGUGUUAAAGGUCAUCAGAACCUGCAGAAACUUGUGCUUCUUUAAUGUAAGAUCUGUAAAAAAGCAGCAGAGCAGACGUACCUCUGCUCCACACUGUCCCAGACUUUAAACUAAAACAAUGAAACCAGAGCAGAGCCUUCUGGAGGUGCUGCAGGACUAAAUCAAUGAAGCAUCUGUGAUGGGCGGAGCCAAAUCCAAUCACCCAAUGACUUACACGCCCUGCCCCCACCCUCCCCUCUCACACUCGUGCCAGCUCUGUACAUAAGACGAUCACUGAGCUUUAAUAGCAUGAAGAGAGAGUUAGAUCAGAUAGCGAGCUGGCAGCGCUAUCAAGCCGCGUGUUUGGAGCAGCGAUGACAGCGCUGGCACAAACAGGGAGUGCUGGAAGCUGGACUCAGACCAGCCGGGGUUCAGUGUGUGUGUGUGUGUUAUAUGAGUGUGUGUGCAUGUGUGUGUGGCGCCUGUCUGGCUUUUGGCUGGAGGUUGAAGCCUGUUGGAAUCAGGGAAAUUUAAGUGCAGAGGCCAAAUGUGGUCCACUUUUAGAGGAACAAGCAGCUGCAAUAUGCAUAUUUUAUGAUAUCAAUGUAACAAUAAACACACUGCACUUUAGAUUUUCAA
Long non-coding RNA from Notolabrus celidotus (New Zealand spotty), 3121 nucleotides. RefSeq lists it as uncharacterized. Lineage: Eukaryota; Metazoa; Chordata; Actinopteri; Labriformes; Labridae. The transcript is spliced from 2 exons. The record is from RefSeq and is a predicted model, not a curated record.